Molecule: long non-coding RNA, 1005 nt
Organism: Micropterus dolomieu (smallmouth bass)
Lineage: Eukaryota; Metazoa; Chordata; Actinopteri; Centrarchiformes; Centrarchidae
Exons: 3
Source: RefSeq, a predicted model, not a curated record
AAUGGCAGGAAGCACAAAGAGGAGGAAAAACAGCCAAACUAAACAUGUAACUGACAAGAAAAGUUCAAAAGCGAGCUGAAGAUCUGUGCUGAAGAAUUUUGCUCACUUCUCCAGCACGUGAGGAGAGUUUACUGAUGCUGUUUGCUGCAGCCAGAGACCUGAUUGUUGCUGUAAGGUAGACAGCUCAUCAACAUGAGUGACAAGCUUCUGGGCAGGAACAACAGCCGCAGAGGAGAAGAAGACCAGACUAACAAUAGAGGCUGUGCCUGGAGUCAAAAACUGGGGGAGAGAUGAUCUUGGAAACCAAAGGCCCUUCAAAGUGUCAGUGAACAAGGAACUGAACUCCCACCUGCUUACUCAGUGCGUGGAACAGGAUUACAGCAUUCGCACAGAAAGCAGCCAGAAAAAAAGAGUGGAGAUUUCUUUUAUGACUUUGAACUGUGGCAGUCUGGCCCCCACAUUAAUCCCGAUCCAGUUGCUCUUGUUGGAGACCUGUGAUACUAGAGGCUGAGGAUUACUCAUCUCCUGUUGCUUCGCUGGCUCCAGACUUUCCUCGGAACCCCUCCACUUCCAUCUUCAUGCAGCGUGAAUGUGGUCGCUGCUGAUAAAGCAGAGAUGCAGCGCUGGUGUUGUUCCCCUCGGCGGAAGAGAAGGAGGUUCAGACAAAAAAGACGGGGGGAGGUGGUGGGGUUGGGAGGUUCCAGUGAUGCUGCUGAGUCUCCGGCGCCAUCUCGCUUUCAUCACCCACCUCGGUUUUGUCAGCCACUCGUCUUUAAGUCUUUUUUUCCCCUUGUGGCUGGCAUCUUCCACUGCACCCGCUGUUAGUUUUCUCCCUCUGCUGCUCCACCUGUUCGUCCUGUUUAUUGCCUCUUCCAUUUUCCCCUCCGUCAUCUUCUCUUCAUCAUUAGUAUCGCCUUCCUUUCUUUUACUCACAUACUGUCUCCUCUGUAGCUAACUGACGACAACCAGAUAACUCAUCCCCUGGUGAACACAAACAUUUUGUUG